Molecule: unclassified non-coding RNA, 1112 nt
Filed under: Hevea brasiliensis (rubber tree)
Lineage: Eukaryota; Viridiplantae; Streptophyta; Magnoliopsida; Malpighiales; Euphorbiaceae
Source: RNAcentral
GCUAAAACCAAUGUGACCAAAAUAGAAUUUUCAUAUUCUCUUUAACACUUGGACAGGACACAAAAACACAUUACUUACACAACAGACGAAUAACCGAUCUGAAUUACUAGCCACAAAAAAAACUAUACUAGACACAAGAUGAGAAAAAAAGCAACACGCUCAAAUUGUAUUUUCACGCAUCUCAAAAGUCUCAACUGAUUUCAAUGAUUAGUCCACUUCUUCCAUCUUGCUUUCCUCACCAAUUUCCUCCAGUGCAGGCAUGUCGGCAUCUUCACCAGCUCCUUCUUCUUCCUCUUCUAUGCUAAGACCCAACUUUAACAUCCUGUGAAUUCUUGCAGCAAAGGUAUUAGGGUCAUCAAGGCUAAAACCAGAUGUUAGUAGAGCUGUCUCAAAGAGCAACAACACAAGAUCCUUCACUGAUUUGUCAUUUUGGUCUGCCUCAGCUCUCUUCCUCAAUUCCUCCAUGAUUCCAUUAUCAGGAUUAAUUUCCAUCGUCUUCUUGCUGGACAUGUAUGAACUCAUGCUGGUAUCCCUCAAAGCCUGAGCCUUCAUGAUCCUCUCCAUGUUGGCUGUCCAACCGUAUUCACCAGUCACCAAGCAACAUGGAGAAUCAACAAUCCUAUCAGAAACAACCACCUUUUCGACCUUGUCACCAAGAAUAUCUUUAAUUAUCUUGCAGAGAUUCUCAAAAGACUUCUUCUUCUCCUCCUUUUUCUUCUUCUCUUCUUCACUAUCAUCAUCAAGCUUCAAUCCCUCCUUGGUGGCAGAGACCAGUUUCUUACCAUCAUAUUCUUUCAGCUGUCCCACAGCGUAUUCAUCAAUAGCAUCAACCAUAUAGAGCACUUCAUAUCCUUUUUUCUUGAGACGCUCCAAGAACGGAGAGUUCUCAACUGCCUUCUUGCUCUCUCCAGUAAUAUAGUAGAUGUCUUUCUGGCCCUCCUUCAUCCUAGUAACAUAAUCCUUCAGGCUGGUCAGCUCAUCACCGCUCUUGGUAGAGUGGUAACGGAGGAGGUCAGCCAACUUGGCUCGGUUCUGGCUGUCUUCGUGAAUUCCCAACUUCAAGUUCUUUGAGAAUGCCUCAUAGAACUUGUUAUAGUCCUCCUUGUUCUCAG